ACCGAGAUUGAAUAUGGAAUUACUAGGUGAUCGAGAAGAGCCUAGGAAGGAUUUAUAGCGGUUGAGUGUGUUAGAAUCGAGUAGUCAUUUCUUGGAAAGAUUUGAGAAGCUUAGAAUGGAUGUUAAACUUAGAGAACCAUUAGUGUUGUAUAACCAAGGAAAAGAAGUGAGUUCUCAUAGUAGAUGAGAAUGGAAUUAAGAGAU
Molecule: long non-coding RNA, 204 nt
Filed under: Trifolium pratense (red clover)
Lineage: Eukaryota; Viridiplantae; Streptophyta; Magnoliopsida; Fabales; Fabaceae
Description: long non-coding RNA (TPRA_LNC011940)
Source: RNAcentral